CUAAGUAGUUAAAGGGUAAAAAGAAAGACCAAAAGUAAGAGGUUGGGAAAACUUGGACUUUUUACUUUUACCUCUUCUUUUCUGAUUUCCAAUGUGCACUUAGCCUUUUGUCCAACCUUUGCUUAGCUUCUCUGGCAAUUUCAACUAGUUUCUCAUCUUGAUAUCCAUUGCUUGCUGCACUUCUUUGCUGUUAAUUCAUUUUAAUGAAAACAUGCACGAAAAAGGACACAUGAAUUAACAUCAAUCAUUUUGUCCACAUAAAUCUUGAACAGUGGUGGAGCCAACCUGAUUAGUUAUCUGAUAUUCGUCGAAAAAGAGUCACCGGUGACACAUAUAUAACACAAAGUGCACAUCAAUUUCGGAAAAAAAGUAACAUUUUAGAACUCCCCACUUUUAACCGAGAGGUUGUGAGUUCGAGUCUCCCCAAGAGCAAGGUGGGAAGUUCUUGGAGGAUGCUGGGGGUCGAUUUGGAAACAGCCUCUCUACCCAAGGGUAGGGGUAAGGUCUGCGUACAUACUACCUUCCCCAGACCCAAUUAAGUGAAAUUAUACUGGGUAGUUGUUAUUGUUGUAUAGUCUAGAUCCAAGUCUAAAUACAAAUUGAGUUGCGAUAAUAAGUCGCUAAUUGUAUAAAUUCUGAGUGCGCCACUAAUCUUAAAAAUGCAAAGGCAAAACUUAGUCAUCAAACAAGGAGAAGAGUACAACAACAUAUCCAGUGUGAUUCCACAAGUAAGGUAUAGAGCUUGUAUUCGAUGACCCUCGGCUCAACAAAUAAGGAGGGGAGUGGUGUGAGGAAUUUAGUAGUACCAUGGAACAGCUUGAACUAAGAUGGUAUUGAACUAUUAAUCAUGGUUGAUUGUGUAGAUGCAAAAAGAGGACCUCCUUGUAUUUGAUGAAUCCAACCAAUUACCCCUUUGAUGAAAUCUCCUCCUUCUAUCAUGCUCAAUACCACGAAGCAUACCAGCCAUUUUUACACAAACUCAAGAACAGAAAAAAAAAACCACAAAGGAAAUCAGAAAGUCUUUGUAGCUACUGUUACAAAACAUCAGAAAGUUCUUGGCUUUUACUGAUCAGUUUCUUACUAUAGAAAUAAUAGUCAUGGAAGAAGUGAAAGAACAAUCAUUAAAGAUACACGUCAAAAUUAUUGUCAUUUUCCCUAUUAAAAAGAAAGAAUAUAGUAACCUCACCUGAAAAGCAGAAGUCUUAACUUUGCUCUGAA
This 1218-nucleotide long non-coding RNA is filed under the name Nicotiana benthamiana. RNAcentral's name for it is "long non-coding RNA (NBEN_LNC015280)". The record is from RNAcentral. Lineage: Eukaryota; Viridiplantae; Streptophyta; Magnoliopsida; Solanales; Solanaceae.